RNAcentral lists this ribosomal RNA (253 nucleotides) under uncultured bacterium. Its description in RNAcentral is "partial 16S ribosomal RNA". It matches the Rfam family "Bacterial small subunit ribosomal RNA", at positions 524 to 776 of the family's 1533-position model. The record is from RNAcentral.
UACGGGGGGAGCAAGCGUUGUUCGGAUUUACUGGGCGUAAAGAGCGCGCAGGCGGUCGUUCAAGUCGCGUGUGAAAGCCCCCGGCUCAACUGGGGAGGGUCACGCGAUACUGAUCGACUCGAAGGCAGGAGAGGGAAGUGGAAUUCCCGGUGUAGUGGUGAAAUGCGUAGAUAUCGGGAGGAACACCAGUGGCGAAGGCGACUUCCUGGCCUGUACUUGACGCUGAGGCGCGAAAGCUAGGGGAGCAAACGGG